CUAAGUAAAAGCGAUAAGUGAUCCACCUGAGAAGUACGAUCGCAAGAUUGAAACUCAAAGGAAUUGACGGGGUUCUGUACAAGCGGUGGAGCAUGUGGUUUAAUUCGAUGAUACGCGAGGAACCUUACCAAGUCUUAAAUGUAUUCCGAAUAAGUUGGAAACAAUUUAGUCUAUAAGACGUAAUACAAGGUGCUGCAUGGUUGUCUUCAGUUCGUGCUGUGAAGUGUUUGGUUAAGUCCUAUAACGAGCGAAACCCUUAUUGUUAGUUGCCAUCGGGUAAAGCCGGGGACUCUAACAAAACUGCCGGUGUAAAUUGUGAGGAAGGUGGGGAUUAUGUCAAAUCAUCAUGGCCUUUAUGUCUUGGGCUACACACGUGCUACAAUGGCUGGUACAACGGGCAGCCACUGGGUGACCAGGAGCUAAUCUCUAAAACCAGUCUAAGUUCGGAUUGGAGUCUGCAAUUCGACUCUAUAAAGAUGGAAUCGCUAGUAAUCGCGCAUCAGCAAUGGCG
This 511-nucleotide ribosomal RNA is filed under the name Flavobacteriales endosymbiont of Unaspis euonymi D076. RNAcentral's name for it is "bacterial SSU rRNA". It matches the Rfam family "Bacterial small subunit ribosomal RNA", at positions 847 to 1359 of the family's 1533-position model. The record is from RNAcentral. Lineage: Bacteria; Pseudomonadati; Bacteroidota; Flavobacteriia; Flavobacteriales.